This 210-nucleotide ribosomal RNA is filed under the name Snodgrassella alvi. Its description in RNAcentral is "partial 16S ribosomal RNA". It matches the Rfam family "Bacterial small subunit ribosomal RNA", at positions 1 to 214 of the family's 1533-position model. The record is from RNAcentral. Lineage: Bacteria; Pseudomonadati; Pseudomonadota; Betaproteobacteria; Neisseriales; Neisseriaceae.
AGAUUAAACAUAAGAGUUUGAUCCUGGCUCAGAUUGAACGCUGGCGGCAUGCUUUACACAUGCAAGUCGAACGGCAGCACGGAGAGCUUGCUCUCUGGUGGCGAGUGGCGAACGGGGGAGUAAUGCAUCGGAACGUACCGAGUAAUGGGGGAUAACUGUCCGAAAGGAUGGCUAAUACCGCAUACGCCCUGAGGGGGAAAGCGGGGGAUC